RNAcentral lists this ribosomal RNA (254 nucleotides) under Echinococcus granulosus. RNAcentral's name for it is "partial 12S ribosomal RNA". The record is from RNAcentral. Lineage: Eukaryota; Metazoa; Platyhelminthes; Cestoda; Cyclophyllidea; Taeniidae.
GUAUUUUGUAAAGUUGUUCUAGUUUUGUAACUAAAAUGGUUUGGCAGUGAGCGAUUCUUAUUAGGGGAAUAUGCAUAGUGAAGGAUGGUCCACCUAUUAGUUUACUCUUUUUAUGUUGGUGUAUGUCUGGUUUGAUAUUAUUGUUGAAUAAUUUAAGUUUGUGUAGUUUUAGUUAAGCUAAGUCUAUGUGCUGCUUAUGGGAGUUUUUGUGUGUUACAUUAAUAAGGGUGUUAUUGUAAGAUGAUGUGAUUUAG